This 345-nucleotide ribosomal RNA is filed under the name uncultured soil bacterium. RNAcentral's name for it is "bacterial SSU rRNA". It matches the Rfam family "Bacterial small subunit ribosomal RNA", at positions 26 to 373 of the family's 1533-position model. The record is from RNAcentral.
AGAUUGAACGCUGGCGGCAGGCCUAACACAUGCAAGUCGAGCGGUAGAGAGGUGCUUGCACCUCUUGAGAGCGGCGGACGGGUGAGUAAUGCCUAGGAAUCUGCCUAGUGGUGGGGGAUAACGUUCGGAAACGGACGCUAAUACCGCAUACGUCCUACGGGAGAAAGCGGGGGACCUUCGGGCCUCGCGCCAUUAGAUGAGCCUAGGUCGGAUUAGCUAGUUGGUGAGGUAAUGGCUCACCAAGGCGACGAUCCGUAACUGGUCUGAGAGGAUGAUCAGUCACACUGGAACUGAGACACGGUCCAGACUCCUACGGGAGCAGCAGUGGGGAAUAGUUGGACAAGU